CGCAAUCACCUACUCACGCAUCCGUGCUUUUUAUGCAGCAGCACCAACCUCCGUGUGACGUUUGUCUUUGAAUUUUGCUAAGCGUAAAUUUACUUCCCGAGAGACUAAAGAAAGUUGGUAGUUUCUCCGGCGGCGCCGGUUCCGGGUGCGACGCUCUCGGGCGUGACCCCGCCGCGGCAACGUUUGGUAACGUUCACCUGGGUUUGAAGUUGUAAACCUCGGUAUGACUUCUGUAGGGGUGACCUGCGGAGGGAUCGUUACCGAGUUUACAACUCCCAAACCCAAUGUGAACGUUACCAAACUGUUGCCUCGGCGGGGUCACGCCCCGGGUGCGUCGCAGCCCCGGAACCAGGCGCCCGCCGGAGGAACCAACCAAACUCUUUCUGUAGUCCCCUCGCGGACGUAUUUCUUUACAGCUCUGAGCAAAAAUUCAAAAUGAAUCAAAACUUUCAACAACGGAUCUCUUGGUUCUGGCAUCGAUGAAGAACGCAGCGAAAUGCGAUAAGUAAUGUGAAUUGCAGAAUUCAGUGAAUCAUCGAAUCUUUGAACGCACAUUGCGCCCGCCAGUAUUCUGGCGGGCAUGCCUGUCCGAGCGUCAUUUCAACCCUCGAACCCCUCCGGGGGAUCGGCGUUGGGGAUCGGGACCCCUCACACGGGUGCCGGCCCCUAAAUACAGUGGCGGUCUCGCCGCAGCCUCUCCUGCGCAGUAGUUUGCACAACUCGCACCGGGAGCGCGGCGCGUCCACGUCCGUAAAACACCCAACUUUCUGAAAUGUUGACCUCGGAUCAGGUAGAUGCCAUCAUUCCCGCUGAACUUAAGCAUAUCAAAGGCCCGGGAGGAGAAAUCUUUACGGAGUUAACAACUCCCAAACCCAAUGUUGAACGUUUACCAAACUGUUGCCUCGGCGGGGUCACGCCCCGGGUGCGUCCACCCGGAAACCGGCGCCCGCCGGAGGAACCAACCAAACUCUUUCUGUAGUCCCUCGGGAC
This 990-nucleotide ribosomal RNA is filed under the name Trichoderma hamatum. RNAcentral's name for it is "eukaryotic LSU rRNA". The stretch from base 445 to 598 matches the Rfam family "5.8S ribosomal RNA". Lineage: Eukaryota; Fungi; Ascomycota; Sordariomycetes; Hypocreales; Hypocreaceae. The record is from RNAcentral.